UACGUAGGGUGCGAGCGUUAAUCGGAAUUACUGGGCGUAAAGAGCGCGCAGGCGGUCGAUCAAGUCGAGUGUGAAAGCCCCCGGCUCAACUGGGGAGGGUCAUUCGAUACUGAUCGACUCGAAGGCAGGAGAGGGUAGUGGAAUUCCCGGUGUAGUGGUGAAAUGCGUAGAUAUCGGGAGGAACACCAGUGGCGAAGGCGACUACCUGGCCUGUUCUUGACGCUGAGGCGCGAAAGCUAGGGGAGCAAACGGG
This 253-nucleotide ribosomal RNA is filed under the name uncultured bacterium. RNAcentral's name for it is "partial 16S ribosomal RNA". It matches the Rfam family "Bacterial small subunit ribosomal RNA", at positions 524 to 776 of the family's 1533-position model. The record is from RNAcentral.